Molecule: long non-coding RNA, 1458 nt
Organism: Pollicipes pollicipes
Lineage: Eukaryota; Metazoa; Arthropoda; Thecostraca; Pollicipedomorpha; Pollicipedidae
Exons: 2
Source: RefSeq, a predicted model, not a curated record
UUAGAUAAGACUGUCCGGUUUGGUUUUCGGAAGCCAUCUGUGAAUUAAAGCAUGCAUAGAAGGCAGAAAGCUUCUAACUUUUCUGGGAACCUUUCAGGGUGGCCAUUGUCAGCAAAUUAUAGGUAACUAAUUGUCAGGCUUAUUUGGUUUAUGUGUUAACGCAGUUGAUGGGUGUGUUUCAACUGGUCUUUGGAGGCCUUGCUUUGCUAGUUGUAGGUUUCAAUUUUUGUCGCGGGGUAAGACUUUGCAAAUGCGUGAGCAGGGCUGCAAGCUCACGAGCGUCUUCCGAACACACACUGUGUGGUGAUGCAGCUUCAGGUUCCAAGAACGAAUGAAUACAAAUACCCACUUCCCAGCGGGGAUUUACACUCCUCCGUGUGGGGCUUUGAGAAAGACCAGAUCAAAAUCUCUUCGAGUGCACUCGUCUAACAGGCUGCAAAGACCACAAUCAACAAAUGAAGGCAGAUUAUUCAGGAGGAUAUUAGACUGGAAAUGCUCUAAUGCGAGACCAAACUCCAGAAGAUCUCAGCAGCCUGCAACAGUCGAUGCAAACGAUCUUGUCAAGCAGAUGCGGAGCUUAAAUAUUAAGAAUACUGAGUCCGCUCGAGACUGCAGGGCUCAGGAGAAGACGAUCAAGAAGAGAACACGUUUCGUGGUAACUGAUCUCAGCUCCAACAAUCUUGCCCGUCAUGAUGAAAAAUUUUACCGUCCGCUGACUGGCCGCGAGAAGCAGCGGCGCAUCUCCGUCUGGGUGCAGAACGUGGAGCGGCAGCGGGCGGGCGCUGGUGGCGCCGCCCACUCGGCCUGCGACUCGCCCAGCACCGAGACCACUGGCGCCCUCUCGGCGUCGCUAGUGAGCCAGCAGGGCUCGUCGGGACGCGCCGGGGCGGCGGUGCAGCGCCUCAGCCCGCCCGCCACCCACCUGGCAGUGCACCGCAGCCUCUCGGAGCAGCGCGGCGCGUGAUGGCGGCGCCCAGCGAACCGAGCGACCCCGACCUCCGCUCACAGCCGCGCAGCGACACGAACGGCCCGGCCGAGCGAGAGCGAAUCUCGAGCGAUGUCAGUAGACAUGCAUAUAAAGGACUGAUUGCGUCUGAGCCUCGUGGUCGCAGCGAGAUGUGAUGGUCAGUUGUGUCAUGCAUGUGCACGACUUUUGAGAAGUCGAAUCAUUCUAUACGAAACUUAAGACAGUAAGGCGUGCAGUUGCACUGGAUACUUUUAUUGUUCCACUGAUCUGAUAUAUGAGUGAUCCAUCAUCUCAGUGAAAAAGGCUCAAAGAGAAGUACUGUCACGGUGCUUCUGCUCGUAAGGGUCAAUUCUUACAUAAAAUCUGCAGAUUUUUUUUUAGAUGCCUUCUGUUAUGGCCAAACACCUUAAUCAUUGUCCGGCAAAAUGGUGUACACAGCGCAGCCGAAUGCAUUUCGACAAUAAACAAUGCGCUCUGCGCAGAUUACCGUC